Molecule: ribosomal RNA, 448 nt
Filed under: uncultured prokaryote
Description: bacterial SSU rRNA
Rfam family: Bacterial small subunit ribosomal RNA
Source: RNAcentral
UCGGGAAUCUUGCACAAUGGGCGAAAGCCUGAUGCAGCAACACCGUGUGAGCGAGGAAGGCCUUCGGGUCGUAAAGCUCUGUUGUUGGGGACGAAGGGCGAAGGGUUAAUAGCCCCUAGCCUGACGGUACCCUUCGAGGAAGCCCCGGCUAACUACGUGCCAGCAGCCGCGGUAAUACGUAGGGGGCGAGCGUUGUCCGGAAUUAUUGGGUGUAAAGGGUGUGUAGGCGGACUUGUAAGUCAGAGGUGAAAGCCCGCGGCUUAACCGCGGAAUUGCCCCUGAUACUGCAAGUCUUGAGUCCUGGAGAGGUCGCUGGAAUUCGUGGUGUAGCGGUGAAAUGCGUAGAUAUCACGAGGAACACCAGAGGUGUAGACGGGUGACUGGACAGGAACUGACGCUGAGGCACGAAAGCGUGGGGAGCAAACAGGAUUAGAUACCCCCGUAGUCC